CUCUCUGGAUCAUGAAGCCAAUUAGAGCUGCUCUCUGGAUCCGCUAUAAGGUCAUGCGUUUUUUUGGCCAAAUUCUUGGAUAUUUAGGGUGUUCUAGGGUUUCUGCGAUUUAGGGUGUUCUACGGUUUCUUUUGGAAAUCUUGUUUCAAUGUGACCAAAUUUGAUGUUCUCUCCCGUUUAGUUCGUGAGUUUAUUUCUUUUUCUCCUAAAACGGAUGAUUCGUGCUUGUAGAUUUACGGUGUUCUAGGGUUUUACGAUAUACCACGCGAAACUAUUAGCUCCAAACCGGCUUCCUUUUCUUCUUGUUAAUUACCUCUAUAUUCUUGUUUCAAUUUGACCAAAUUUUUAUGUUUUCUCACGUUUAGUUUGUGAAUUCGUAUUUUUUUGUCCUAAAAUGGUCGUAGUUUUAAUGAGUAAAUGAUCUCUUCAAGUGAAUUUAUAGAACUUCUCUAUUUCGACUUUCAAAAAGAAGAGGUUUUCUUUCCCUCCUUGGAGAAAACAAGAUUUUAAAGCUCUUUAAUCCUAUAAAUAUUGCCAUUUCUUUAUGCUGUAAUAUUCACAAUUCCUGAACUGACUCUUUUUAGAUUUGGAAUCUAGUUUUGGUCCAGAAUCAAUUGGUGGUUUAUAUCUCCUGCAAGGAGAUGCUUACUGUUAUUUGGUUGGGUAUGCAAUGGAUUAGCAUGGGCGUUCAGACAAUGACAUGGAGAUAGCUUCCAGGAAUGAGUCAUGGCGAUGCUGGAGAUGGCCGGGAGCCUGUUAUAGAGAAUGGUGGGACCACUGAUGCAACAAGAUGUAUGAUGCAGGUACCUUCGGUUUUAUUAUAACCAAAGAUAGCAAAGUGAAGCAUGUCAGAAUUUCAUUCACUGAAACCAAUCACAAGGACAAAUUACGUCGCUGGUAUCCAACUCAGAUACUGUGUCGACAGAUUUCUACAUAUUAAGUGACUUAUACUUGAACGCGACCAUGAGGUUACUCCAGGAAUAGACAUAACUAUCCUUCCAAGAGAGGAAAGCAUUUUCAUGAGAAUAUUGGUUUAGCAGGGAUAUUAAUGGAUGAGUCAAUUUCAUGAAGGAUGAUUUGGUAGGUUAUGCAAGUGUGGAACUGGGCAGAGGAAAUAUGAUUUGUAUCUUGAAAACAGGAGAUAAUGACAUUAUACAGCAACUAUUCAAUAGCACUCAAAGCAAGAACACCUACCUUUUUUCAUUUCAUGGACCUGGACCAAGGACAGCUGAUGAAUGUGUUUUGUGCUGAUGACAGGUGAAGGACUGAAUAUCAGUAUUUUGGUGAUGUUGUUCUAGUAGAUACUACUUACUUGAUUGGUUGGUAUGGCUUUCUAUUUGUUGACUUCAUUGGGGGUAAACCAUCAUGGU
Molecule: non-coding RNA, 1370 nt
Organism: Musa acuminata subsp. malaccensis (wild Malaysian banana)
Lineage: Eukaryota; Viridiplantae; Streptophyta; Magnoliopsida; Zingiberales; Musaceae
Source: RefSeq, a predicted model, not a curated record